ACUUCCGGGUAAUCAUGGCUGCAAUCAAGAUGCCACACGCUUCCUCUCCCCGGCACCAAAUGAAAUAGACUACAUCAAAGGAGCAUAAAAAUCACCUUUGGAGGAACAGAAGGACUCCCCAGUACUCCCCAGUACCCCACAGAGGUGAAGAUGUCAGAAAGCAAGGCCACUGUUAAAAGACAAGGACUUCUAUUAAAACCAGAACACAAAGGAACCAGGUUAUAUUAACAUCUGACUUUGGGGAAGGAGAGACAGACACUUGCCUUGGACUAAGUCUCCAGCAGCUCAGUCCUGUCCACAGAGAAAAAGGUCCCAUUAGGAAUAAUAUGAGAGGACGCCUGCUUCGGCUGACCCCUUGUGUAAAAGAGACCCAGGAGCUGCACAGAAAACCCCACGUAACAAGUAUAAUAUAGAAAAAACUUCCAUUUGUGAAGUAUGUCAUAAAAGAAAUUCUUUUCACACACAUUAUUUCACUUAAGCCUCAAAACAACCCUGCCAAGUAGAGCAGGGCAAAGAUUAUUAUCCCCAUUUUACUAAAGAAGAAAUACUGAACCAGAGUGGUUUAGCUAUUUGUUGAAGGUCAAAUAGCUUGUUGGUGACUUGAAUGGAGAAUAAAAUCCAGG
Molecule: long non-coding RNA, 623 nt
Organism: Monodelphis domestica (gray short-tailed opossum)
Lineage: Eukaryota; Metazoa; Chordata; Mammalia; Didelphimorphia; Didelphidae
Source: RefSeq, a predicted model, not a curated record